RNAcentral lists this long non-coding RNA (531 nucleotides) under Medicago truncatula (barrel medic). RNAcentral's name for it is "lncRNA gene39275". The record is from RNAcentral. Lineage: Eukaryota; Viridiplantae; Streptophyta; Magnoliopsida; Fabales; Fabaceae.
CUUCUCCAUAAGCUCUGAGAACUCUCUCUAAAUAUUGAGUUUUUAGUCCAUUUUAAGAGUCAUUUCAGAGAUAAAUUAAUUAGUUUGUAUGUAGUUUUAUCGAUUUUUGUAAUAAAAUCUGACAAAAUCAUAAAAGAGAAAAAUAAGGAAAAAAGCGUUGAACCAUAGAAGUCGACCCGAACCACACAACUUUGCAGCCAUGCUAUUUUAUUUACAAGUUUAUCGCUGAUGAGGCUUGGGGUGUUCCAGAUGUUUUAGUGAGAAUACAUGGAGCUAGGAGUCAACUAUUGUCCAUCUCACACAACGAACUAUACGCCCUGCACCACGAUAAUGGAACAACAAGGCAAAAAAAUUCACUAGGACUGGAGCAACCAAAGCUAUUUAGGAGCCAAGAAAUCAUCAACCAAUGAUCAUUUUCUUGUGUUUUAUUAAUCAUAUAUAUAUUUUUAUAUGUUUAGGAACUAUGAGUAGCUUAUCAUAUCUAGGUUAGGUCAUAAAAAUUAAAGUACUUCCCUGUAAUUAUUCAAUAAU